RNAcentral lists this unclassified non-coding RNA (249 nucleotides) under plant metagenome. RNAcentral's name for it is "partial contains small subunit ribosomal RNA, internal transcribed spacer 1, and 5.8S ribosomal RNA". The record is from RNAcentral.
UUUCCGUAGGUGAACCUGCGGAAGGAUCAUUACACAUAGCGGGAGCCGGAAGAUAGUCCCCCUGUAGCAAAAAUUACGGGGGGUAGGACUCUCGCCCCGAGCAAUCGGGUCACCCUGCUUUUUGAGCACCAUUCGUUUCCUCGGCGGGCUUGCCCGCCAACGGAGACCCCCUAAAACCUCUGUAAUGAGCAGUAUCUAUCAGUAAUAAAAAAUUUAUCACAACUUUCAACAAUGGAUCUCUUGGCUCUG